AGCCCCGUGGUGUAAAAACAUGUUGGAUUGCAAAUCCAGAGACGUAGAUUAAUAGUCUGCCGGGGCUU
RNAcentral lists this transfer RNA (68 nucleotides) under Carassius auratus (goldfish). Its description in RNAcentral is "tRNA-Cys". It matches the Rfam family "tRNA". Rfam says of the family: Transfer RNA (tRNA) molecules are approximately 80 nucleotides in length. Their secondary structure includes four short double-helical elements and three loops (D, anti-codon, and T loops). Further hydrogen bonds mediate the characteristic L-shaped molecular structure. tRNAs have two regions of fundamental functional importance: the anti-codon, which is responsible for specific mRNA codon recognition, and the 3' end, to which the tRNAs corresponding amino acid is attached (by aminoacyl-tRNA synthetases). tRNAs cope with the degeneracy of the genetic code in two manners: having more than one tRNA (with a specific anti-codon) for a particular amino acid; and 'wobble' base-pairing, i.e. permitting non-standard base-pairing at the 3rd anti-codon position. The record is from RNAcentral. Lineage: Eukaryota; Metazoa; Chordata; Actinopteri; Cypriniformes; Cyprinidae. RNAcentral also lists the same sequence under 2 other names.